RNAcentral lists this long non-coding RNA (1802 nucleotides) under Monodelphis domestica (gray short-tailed opossum). RNAcentral's name for it is "lncRNA (ENSMODG00000045008.1)". Lineage: Eukaryota; Metazoa; Chordata; Mammalia; Didelphimorphia; Didelphidae. The record is from RNAcentral.
GAAGAUAGAGGACCAGGGCAGAGCAGGACACCCAAAGCACAGAGUCCCCCUUGGUGUAGACCUUGGCAAAGAGACUCGCGUGGCCGGAGGGGAGAGAGGCUCCUGGGAAGGACUGGGCAGGACAGAGGGCCCCGUGGACAGGAAUUUUCAGGUGGUUGUCACCCUCGGGUGGCCAUUGGAUGUAAAGGGCACAAGUGAGCCCUCGUGGGGCUCUCCUGGUGGGGGGAGGUGAACAGAUGACAAUGGCAUUCAAGGAGAAGCUCUCUGCUGUGUGUGGGGGAUGGAUGGAGUGGGGACGGGUUCCCCACUUUGAUUAUGUCCACGAUGUUCUUGAUCCUGGAAGCUCUGCAUCUGCCUCUCUCUGGAGGGCCCGGCGAUGGGGACGCCCGAUUUUCUGGGUGGGAGGAUCCGUGUCGGGGCAUCGAGAUGAGGCCGAUGAUGUGAACUUCAUUGGGACGCGUGUGGGCACGAGGAAGGGGAAGCCCUCUGGGCGUGUUGGGGUGCCAGUGACGGCUCGGCUCGUCUUGGGGGGAUGCCGAGGCCCGUCCUCCGAGAACGCCUCUGAGUGUGGCUCGCCGGGUACCCCUGCGCACUCCCUCGCACGCGGGAACUCGAAGAAGCGCUGCAAAGCUCUGGCCGCGGCUCUGCCCUUCCGGGUUCUUGUUCUCUGUUAGCACCAUUAAGACUAUUUUAGGACUAUUGGCUGCUCCAGAUCCGCUUCUCGCUGGCCUGGGCGCUCCAGCCGGGUGGGAGCCCCCGAGCCAAGUCACUGGCUGGAGGGGGGAGGAGAAGGGCCUCGUGUCGGGACAGGCAGGGGGGACGCGGAGCACGUGGGGGCUGUGCCUUCUGCGGCCGGGCCGACGGCUAGCAGAUCCAGCGGAUGAACCUGUCGAAGAAGCUGGGCUGCGAGAGGCUGUCGUAGUCCUUCUCCUGGAAGAUGGCGGCCCGAUCUCCCAGGCUGAUCUUCAGGAGCAGCUCCAUGUCCACGUCGCUCCCCAGGGCCAGCACGGUGGGCACGACGUCCUGCUUGCGCAUGGAGUGCAGUGACUCAUUCAGACUGACCUCCCCCGUGAUGCCGUCCGUGAUGAAGACGAAGGAGAGCUCGGCGUUGCGGCGGGCGCCCGCCUGCUGGUCCAUGACGAUGUUGUUGAUGGCGUGGAUGAUGCCGGUGCCCACGUGGGAGAAGGAGUUGAGGUACCGGACGUUGCUCACGUCGAUGAACUUCUCGGCCACGAGGUCGGAGAAGAGCGUCAUGUUGCGCACGCGGCCGCGCUGGUUGCAGGCGAUGGACGUCAGGCUCUCGCUCUCGUGCUGCUCGUUGAACAUGUCGCCGAUGCCGAUGGCGGUGACCACCACGUUCUCCACCUUGUCGCAGAGGGCCUUCAGGGACUGCUCGUUGUCGCGCGGGUCGUGGCGCCCGUCGGUGAUGACCACGGCGAACACGCGCGUCUUCUUGCGCCGGCUGCCCUUGAUGAGCUCGUUGUAGGUGUAGUUCAGGGCCGACGGCGUCCACGUGCCCCCCGCGAUCCACUCCAGCUUCUUCACCUCCUCCUUGAACUGCGCCAGCGAGCCGAUGCGCCCGUCGUCCAGCUUGAUGGCCUCGAAGGUGCCGUCGUGGCUGUACUGGACCACCCCGAUGCGGGUCCCUGAAAGAGAGCGCCGCCGCGCUGGGGGGAGCCCGGAGCGGCCCCGCCGCCCCUCCCCCCUGCGGCCGGCCCUUCGUCUCCAGCGAGAAGGGGCGUUUCCAGGGGGCGGCGGGGGUCCGGCUGCCCGUCCGGUCUCGGACGUCUCCUGGCCGGGUG